AUACGGAGGGUGCAAGCGUUAUUCGGAAUCACUGGGCGUAAAGGACGCGUAGGCGGGUUGGCAAGUCAGAUGUGAAAUCCUACAGCUUAACUGUAGAACUGCAUUUGAAACUGCUAACCUAGAGUAUGGGAGGGGGAGAUGGAAUUAGUGGUGUAGGGGUAAAAUCCGUAGAUAUUACUAGGAAUACCGAAAGCGAAGGCGAUCUCCUGGAACAUAACUGACGCUAAGGCGUGAAAGCGUGGGGAGCAAACAGGAUUAGAAACCCUAGUAGUCC
RNAcentral lists this ribosomal RNA (274 nucleotides) under uncultured bacterium. Its description in RNAcentral is "partial 16S ribosomal RNA". It matches the Rfam family "Bacterial small subunit ribosomal RNA", at positions 523 to 796 of the family's 1533-position model. The record is from RNAcentral.